RNAcentral lists this non-coding RNA (23 nucleotides) under Arabidopsis thaliana (thale cress). Lineage: Eukaryota; Viridiplantae; Streptophyta; Magnoliopsida; Brassicales; Brassicaceae. The record is from RNAcentral.
GUAAUUACGUGUGUUCUACAACA